UUUUGUAAGAAGGUUAGUAAGCUUAGAUUGUACUUGCCACCUGGUACUAAUGCCUAGGAACGAGCUUUGCUUCUUGGGAAUGCUCUCUAUCUCAGCAUCUGAUAACUACUUUCCAUUAUCAUUUAAUAUAUGAAGUCAAUCAAAAAAAAAAAA
This 153-nucleotide non-coding RNA is filed under the name Ctenophora environmental sample. Lineage: Eukaryota; Metazoa; Ctenophora. The record is from RNAcentral.